AUGGAGAAGGAGAAGACGGUCGUUCUGUACCCGGGGCUUUCCGUCAGCCACUUCGUCCCGAUGACGCAGCUCGCGGGUACCCUCCUCGACCACGGCUACGCUGUCAUCGUCGCGCUCAUCGAUCCCAGCGUCAAGGAGGACAUCGCCUUCGGCGCCGUCGUCGCCCGCCUUGCCGCCUCCAUGCCGCCCGUCCGCUUCCACACGCUCCCGGCCGUGGAGGACCCGCCCAAGCUGACCCACGACGGGCAGUUCAUGCUCAGGUACCUCGACCUCGUCAGCCGCUACAACAAGCGCCUCCACGACUUCCUCUGCUCCAUUAAUUUGCUUAUAUUUUCAACAGACUCGCCGUCCAACGAGGCGCUCGUCGUCACCAAGAGGCUCGGGUUCCCUAGCUACACCUUGUUCACCUCCAGCGCCGCCACCUUUGUCGCCUUCGCCCAGCUCCCUACGGUCCUCGCAGAGGGCGGCCCGAGCUUCAAGGAGCUGGGAGACACCCAUCUCGAGCUCUUCGGCCUUCCACCCAUGCCGGCUUCGCAUCUGUUGGGCGAGGUGCUCGAGGACCCGGAGAGCGACACAUACAAGGCGAUGAUGGCCUUGCUCUGCCGGAUCCCGGAGGCCGACGGCACGCUGGUGAAUACGUUCGAGUCGUUGGAGGCUCGGGCCGUGGCUACUCUCAAGGACCCGCGGUGUGUCCCCGGCUGGGUAUUGCCUCCGGUGUACUGCGUCGGUCCAUUUGUCGGCAGCAUCGCCGAUGCCGAGGCAAAAGAGCGGCACGAGUGCCUCGCCUGGCUAGACGGCCAACUGGACCGCAGCGUCGUGUUCCUUUGCUUCGGGAGCAUAGGCACUGGAAACCACUCUGAAGAGCAGCUCAGGGAGAUCGCCGUCGGCCUCGACAAGUCCGGCCACUGCUUCUUGUGGGUUGUGCGAGCCCCCGCCAGCGACGACCCGGAGAAGCCACACGACCCCAGUGCCAACCCGGACCUCGACACGCUCCUGCCGGACGGUUUCAUGGAGCGAACCAACGGCCGUGGCCUCGUCGUCAAGCUGUGGGCGCCACAGGUGGACGUCCUCCGCCACAGGGCCACGGGGGCGUUCGUGACGCACUGCGGGUGGAAUUCGGUGCUGGAGGGCGUCACGGCGGGCGUGCCGAUGCUGUCCUGGCCGCUCUACUCGGAGCAGAAGAUGAACAAGGUGCACAUGAUGAGGGACAUAGGGGUCGCCACGGAGAUGGUCGGGUGGCAGCAGGGGCUGGUCAAGGCCGGCGAGGUAGAGGCCAAGGUAAGGCUUGUGAUGGAGUCUGAGGAGGGUAGAGAGCUCAGAGCGCGGGCGGCGGUGCACAAGGAAGCCGCGGCCGCGGCUUGCGACGAUGGCGGGACGUCGCGCUUGGCGUUUGCCCAGUUCCUGGCGGACGUGGCAAGCCGGCAGGAUCGGGCUUUGCAGUGA
RNAcentral lists this ribosomal RNA (1443 nucleotides) under Triticum aestivum (bread wheat). Its description in RNAcentral is "partial small subunit ribosomal RNA". The record is from RNAcentral. Lineage: Eukaryota; Viridiplantae; Streptophyta; Magnoliopsida; Poales; Poaceae.